RNAcentral lists this transfer RNA (73 nucleotides) under Stegodyphus mimosarum. It matches the Rfam family "tRNA". Rfam says of the family: Transfer RNA (tRNA) molecules are approximately 80 nucleotides in length. The record is from Rfam by way of RNAcentral. Lineage: Eukaryota; Metazoa; Arthropoda; Arachnida; Araneae; Eresidae.
GCCUUCGUGGUGUAGUGGUCAGUACGCUCGACGCGUAACCGAGAGGUCCGUGGUUCGAUUCCCGGCGAAAGCC